UUGGCCAGGCACCAAUCAUCUGCCUCCUUCUGUGCCUGCCUGGCUGCCCCUACCCUGGGGCUCCCUCCUAGCCCCCACCUCACCUACUGGCUCACUGAGACAGAGCCAAACAUGAAAGGGAAGGUGACGGCCUGGCCAUAGGGCCCAGGAAAAUGCAGGUAUCAUUAACAGCCUGGAGCACUGUGGCCUGUCCACUCUCAACCCUCUGCUGCCCACCCCUUCCUGGAAUAGACCCCAGGCCACAUACAGAGGGGGCAAGCCCAAGCCAGGAUUGAAGGAGAUCCCAUCUUGGGUCUAAAGGAAUGGGGGUGAAGACUGCAUCUUGUCGUUCCAGUUCCACCCCAUUCUGGCAUGGGAAGCAUGUGUGGGCUUCUACUCUAUGGGAGAUUCAUAGGAUGCUGACGAUACGACAGUGAAUACAACAUGAAAAAACAAGCACACUUCUCACCCCUAUGGAGCUUUAUUCUGGUCAGGCAGAAGGAGAAGGAAAUGUAAACAUGCAAGGAGCAACUUUUUGGCACUCCCAUUUUGCAGAAGA
This 538-nucleotide long non-coding RNA is filed under the name Homo sapiens (human). RNAcentral describes it as "HSALNT0106447". Lineage: Eukaryota; Metazoa; Chordata; Mammalia; Primates; Hominidae. The record is from RNAcentral.